Molecule: long non-coding RNA, 948 nt
Organism: Suricata suricatta (meerkat)
Lineage: Eukaryota; Metazoa; Chordata; Mammalia; Carnivora; Herpestidae
Exons: 2
Source: RefSeq, a predicted model, not a curated record
GGCCUCUGCCACCAGGGCCACCAGCCUCCUCUCCCCACUGUCCCAGCCAUCUUUGGAAACUCCAGACCUGACCCAGUCAGGCCCCUACUCAAAACCGUUUCAUAGGUCCCCAAAGCCCAGGGGACUGAUGGCAAGGCUCACGGUGGUAUCCCGCCAGCUCCCUGGCCCCUGCCCUCCCGCCAUUAUUGCGCCUGAAGGGCACACAUCACAGCGCUCCCCGGAACGACACCCCGCCUUCAGCUAGUCCUGGGUUCACCCCAUCUGCCUUGUCCGUCCCACACCAGGUGGUUGAGAAGAACAGAUGCCCACUGAGGUGACCCGUCCCCAGGCCUCUGCUGGGGAAAGAGCCAGGCCACCUGGGACGGUCAGCUUCCGGGACAGACGCGAGCCUACCCACCCGUUGACAAACUGACAGAAAGGACCCGUGAGCCAGGUGCUCAGGGAGGCGUCUGGAGGGCUUCCCAGAGGAGGCCUGACUCAAGGGACUGAGAUUUCAGAAUGUCCCGCCUGAACUGUGUUUGCUGUGGUCAAGCGCCUGACCCCAUCAGAAGUGGCUGUGGCCAGAUCUGGACGCACCUGAAAGUAGAUCACCACUGCGAAGACAAAGAUGGUGGCGAUCAGGUUCAUGAGGUUGGGGAGGUUCUGGCGGUAGAAGGCCUCACGCAGGGCCCGGACCUUGUCGGUGCGGGUGGCCAGCAGGUGGAACAGCGCGAUGAUGGCACCUUCGAAUUCCAUUCCUGUUGCCGAAGGAAAGGACGCAGGUGGUAAAGAAACAAGCCACCAACUAAAUCUGGCUCUAAGGUUCCUGGUGGCCAGAAAGAGUAAGCCCUGGCAUUGACGGUGCUGCUCCCGUAACCACAGGGAGAGAGUUCUCUCGACCCUCACCACUGUUUCUUCUGUAGAGACCGCACACCCUGCGGAAACAUGCCGUUCUACCUUUCAAAUUAA